RNAcentral lists this ribosomal RNA (460 nucleotides) under uncultured bacterium. RNAcentral's name for it is "partial 16S ribosomal RNA". It matches the Rfam family "Bacterial small subunit ribosomal RNA", at positions 338 to 795 of the family's 1533-position model. The record is from RNAcentral.
CCUACGGGUGACAGCAGUGAGGAAUAUUGGUCAAUGGGCGAGAGCCUGAACCAGCCAAGUCGCGUGAAGGAUGAAGGAUCUAGGUUUUGUAAACUUCUUUUGUAUGGGAAUAAAGUGUGGCACUUGUUCCUUUUUGUAUGUACCAUAUGAAUAAGCAUCGGCUAACUCCGUGCCAGCAGCCGCGGUAAUACGGAGGAUGCGAGCGUUAUCCGGAUUUAUUGGGUUUAAAGGGUGCGUAGGUGGUUAAUUAAGUCAGCGGUUAAAGUUUGUGGCUCAACCAUAAAAUUGCCGUUGAAACUGGUGGACUGGAGUAGAUGAGAGGGAGGCGGAAUGCGUGGUGUAGCGGUGAAAUGCAUAGAUAUCACGCAGAACUCCGAUUGCGAAGGCAGCUUACUGAACUAUAACUGACACUGAAGCACGAAAGCGUGGGGAUCAAACAGGAUUAGAUACCCGGGUAGUC